This 293-nucleotide ribosomal RNA is filed under the name uncultured eukaryote. RNAcentral describes it as "partial 18S ribosomal RNA". It matches the Rfam family "Eukaryotic small subunit ribosomal RNA", at positions 592 to 891 of the family's 1831-position model. The record is from RNAcentral.
CACUAGUGUAUAUUAAAGCUGUUGUGGUUGAAAAGUUCGUAGUUGGUUUUCUGUUGAGGACAACCAGUCUGCCCAUUGGGUCUGUAUUUGGUUUGUUCUAUGCAUCUCCUUGGGGAAGUUUGCUGUGCUUGACUGUGCGGUGUCUUUUCCAGGCCAAUAACUUUGAGGAAAUUGGAGUGUCCCAAGUAAGCUUUGCUGUUGAACACACGUGCAUGGAAUGGAGUGAGGUGAAAUUCUUGAAUUUGUCAAAGGCAAGCGCUUGCGAAAGCAUUUGUCCAGAAUGCCUGUGUUGA